This 468-nucleotide ribosomal RNA is filed under the name uncultured bacterium. Its description in RNAcentral is "partial 16S ribosomal RNA". It matches the Rfam family "Bacterial small subunit ribosomal RNA", at positions 28 to 507 of the family's 1533-position model. The record is from RNAcentral.
GACGAACGCUGGCGGCGUGCUUAACACAUGCAAGUCGAACGGAAAGGCCCUGCUUUUGUGGGGUGCUCGAGUGGCGAACGGGUGAGUAACACGUGAGUAACCUGCCCUUGACUUUGGGAUAACUUCAGGAAACUGGGGCUAAUACCUGCUAGGAGCUCCUGCUGCAUGGUGGGGGUUGGACAGUUUCGGCGGAUGGGGAUGGACUGGCGGCUUAUCAGCUUGUUGGGGGGGUGGUGGCUUACCAAGGCUUGGGCGGGUAGCCGGCCUGAGAGGGUGACCGGCCACAUUGGGACUGAGAUACGGCCCAGACUCCGACGGGAGGCAGCAGUGGGGAAUAUUGCACAAGGGGCGGAAGCCGUAUGCAGCAAGUCCGCGGGCGGGAUGACGGCCUUCGGUUUGUAAACCGCUUUCGCCUGUGACGAAGCGUGAGUGACGGUAAUGGGUAAAGAAGCACCGGCUAACUACGUG